UACAGAGGGUGCGAGCGUUAAUCGGAAUUACUGGGCGUAAAGCGUGCGUAGACGGCUAUCUAAGUCGGGUGUGAAAGCCCCGGGCUCAACCUGGGAAUUGCAUUCGAGACUGAAUAGCUAGGGUACGGUAGAGGGAAGCGGAAUUUCCGGUGUAGCGGUGAAAUGCGUAGAUAUCGGAAGGAACAUCAGUGGCGAAAGCGGCUUCCUGGACCA
This 213-nucleotide ribosomal RNA is filed under the name uncultured bacterium. RNAcentral describes it as "partial 16S ribosomal RNA". It matches the Rfam family "Bacterial small subunit ribosomal RNA", at positions 524 to 736 of the family's 1533-position model. The record is from RNAcentral.